GUUGGAUCGUGAUCCGAGGCUAUAAGGGGGGUUAAUAGCCUCUUUUCGAUUUAUACAGGUUGAUUGCGGAAUUACCUGUAAAUGCUAAAUAAACAAAUGGUUGAACAAGUAAUGAUAUAAGGAUAUUAUGAUUUUGAUUGAUAUAAUGAUGUAAGUAUUACUCUCUGAAGCUUACUACAGUAUAUGAAUACUGAGUCAACUUGCUUGAUAGUGUUUUACACACAACUAUAGUAUAUGAGUACUAAGUUAUAUUGAAAACACAAAUUGUAAUGUAGAGUAAAUGACCAGAUAACUGGAUAUAUUGAUAUGCAAGUAAAUGACCAGAUAACUGGAUAUAUUGAUAAACAAGUAAGUGACCAGAUAACUGGAUAAGUUGAUAAACAAGUAAGUGACCAGAUAACUAGAUAAAUAUGAUAAGUAAUACUUGAACAAAUAUAAAGAUUUAAAGCAAUGAAUAUAACCUCAGAUAGUUGAUCAGAUAACUGGAUGAGGGAUCUGCGUAAAGUAGUCAACCUCUGUGUUUGACCAGAUAACUGGAAGAGGGAUCUUUUUAAUUAAGUGUUGUUAUUUAAAUAAAAGAUAGAACUAUAAUUAACAGAGAACAACACAAGAGAUUUAUACUGGUUCACCCAAACAAGGGCUAGUCCAGUCCCGACCAACUGCCGGAAUUCACUCGCCUAAAGGUAAUGGCAAAACCUUUCUAAGCUUUAAGGCUACUUCGCUUAGGAACCAGUCUUUUACGGGUAGACUCACACCUUAGAGUAUCAAGGGCACUCUUAAGAACCUCUAACUUUUACGGGUAAGUUAGUACCUUAGAGUAUCAAGGAACUCUUAAAAACCUCUCUAAGCUUUAAGGCUACUUCGCUUAGGAACCAGUCUUUUACGGGUAGACUCACACCUUAGAGUAUCAAGGGCACUCUUAAGAACUUCUAACUUUUACGGGUAAGUUAGUAUCUUAGAGUAUCAAGGAACUCUUAAAAUCCUCUGAAAUCUUUAAAGGUAGACUCAACCUAAGAGUUUUCCCGGAAACUCUAUAAAACCAAACUAGAGCUUUAUGGUUGAGCUCACAAACCUUCUCUAACACUUUGGUACUAUUGAGACAACCCUCUCAACCAAAGUGAACACACACAAGAGGUGAUUAGAGGAGUGGAAUAUUAAAGCAAACAACACUUCUUACUUGUAAAGAUGAACAAGAAGAUUAGAAGAAGAAGUUGGAGAGCUUUUGAAGCUUUGGAAAGCUAGGACACUUGAGCACUUGAAAGCUUGGAAGCUUGGAGGCAAAAAUGUGUGGGCAAGUGUGGAGUGAAAGCUCUUGAGUUUGCUUGUAGUGUGGUGAGUGAAAAUGAGGGGAUUACCCUUCUAUUUAUAGCCUUGGCCACUCAAUGUCCACCCUUGGAUCUUCAAUGGAUGGCUCCUUGAUUUCUCACAUAAAUCCAAGCUUUGUCUUUGAUCUUAUCUUGAAUAGUGCUUUUCUUGGAUAGAGUU
Molecule: long non-coding RNA, 1485 nt
Filed under: Zostera marina
Lineage: Eukaryota; Viridiplantae; Streptophyta; Magnoliopsida; Alismatales; Zosteraceae
Description: long non-coding RNA (ZMAR_LNC002884)
Source: RNAcentral